This 497-nucleotide ribosomal RNA is filed under the name uncultured bacterium. Its description in RNAcentral is "partial 16S ribosomal RNA". It matches the Rfam family "Bacterial small subunit ribosomal RNA", at positions 28 to 507 of the family's 1533-position model. The record is from RNAcentral.
GAUGAACGCUGGCGGCGUGCCUAAUACAUGCAAGUCGAGCGAACGGACGAGAAGCUUGUUCUUCUGAUGUUAGCGGCGGACGGGCGAGUAACACGUGGAUAACCUACCUAUUAGUCUGGGAUAACUUCGGGAAACCGGAGCUACUACCGGAUCAUAUUUUGAACCGCAUGGUUCAAAAGUGAAAGACGGUUUUGCUGUCACUUAUAGAUGGUUCCGCGCUGCAUUAGCUAGUUGGUAAGGUAACGGCUUACCAAGGCGACGAUGCAUAGCCGACCUGAGAGGGUGAUCGGCCACACUGGAACUGAGACACGGUCCAGACUCCUACGGGAGGCAGCAGUAGGGAAUCUUCCGCAAUGGGCGAAAGCCUGACGGAGCAACGCCGCGUGAGUGAUGAAGGUCUUCGGAUCGUAAAGCUCUGUUAUUAGGGAAGAACAUAUGUGUAAGUAACUGUGCACAUCUUGACGGUACCUAAUCAGAAAGCCACGGCUAACUACGUG